GUCUAUGGCCAUGCACUCUGAACAAGCCCGAUGUCUGAUCAGGGUUGGGCCUGGUUAGUUGGAUGGGAGACCACCUAGGAAAAACAGGUGCUAUAGGCA
This 99-nucleotide ribosomal RNA is filed under the name Pteropus alecto (black flying fox). Lineage: Eukaryota; Metazoa; Chordata; Mammalia; Chiroptera; Pteropodidae. The record is from RNAcentral.